Dermacentor silvarum is the source of this 5971-nucleotide long non-coding RNA. RefSeq lists it as uncharacterized. Lineage: Eukaryota; Metazoa; Arthropoda; Arachnida; Ixodida; Ixodidae. The transcript has 2 exons. The record is from RefSeq and is a predicted model, not a curated record.
GAAUAGAAAGUUAUACUUGCUGUUUGCACUAGUUUGUAUCACCGUGUCUGAAACCUCCUGCGUGUCAUCUGUCUGAUCACGCAAGAAAAAAGGCAUGUAGAAAAAGACACAAAAAUGGUGUGCACCAAAAUCUCGGAGGCAACAGCCGUGAUUCACCAAGUGCAUGCUAGGUGGCACCACAAUAUUGUGCCUCAUUGAACACGGGUUUAACCAAGGCCCUGAGUAUCUGCACCUUGCUAGCGCAAGUUCACCAACAUGCACUUGCAGCAACAAUUGAUCAUAUGGUGCAUGUGCACUAGCAGCUCCGUAUGAAAGAGAGGCAUGAACUUCCUAUCACAAGUCUCUUCAAUCACAGUUGCAUUGAUAGAGCAUUUAGUUUUUUCACAUUGUCUAGUUCUCACGUGCAACAAGUACAACAGAAACCUUUGAACGUCAACGUAGAUCUUUCACUUCUGUACACCAUUCUAUCUUGCAGAAGUGAAAGUAUUCCUAAAAGUGAUGGCCCGCUGCGGCCCUCUGUUUAUCCUGUGAAUUGCCGUCUGUGCUGUUUCAAGACAAUGUGGUGCCAUGCAAUUGCAAGGACUCCUACACCUUAGUGCAUAACUAUUACAUGUCCGUAAGGUUUCUAAAAGUUCAAGCCAUGUGCUGGUUUAUUGCUGCCAGAAAGGAUGGGCAACCCCAUUCCUAUGACUUCAGCACAUUUUUUGUGUCUAUCUAACAACCUUGUUGUGUUUGCCAAUUGGGAAAAGAAAAACUAGCUAUAGAGUAGCACAGAAAACACAUAUGGGGGCACAGUUGCUUCAGCAACUGAAAAAUACAUCUUACAUAUUGCAAAGACAAGGUAUCUCAUAUUGGUUGAAAUAAGUGGUCCUCGCGGAGCAUUUUCUCCAGGUGUGCACUUGGAUAUCAUCAAAACAAAGGUCCUUGCUUACUUAUAAGUGAAGCACAGUGUUAACUAAACACAGAAAGGUGGUGAUUGGAUCAGUGCUCCUUUUCACAAACAGCUUUUCGCACCAAGCAACCAUGCCUAUUGUUGUGCUUAUGAAGUUUAGGGGAUAUCAUAUUGUCUGGCAUCAGCUUACAUCUGUUGACUCGAUGCGUCUAUGUCUUAUACAUGACAGGAGUGCUAAGUGGCCUCAGAAAUUGAGAGUUGUUGCAUCAUGGUCUCACCUCUUUAGGUGUAUGCAAAGAGAUUUCUGUGUUGGCUCUAAGUCCUUGUUCCUUUCUUUGUUUAUUCUUUCAACAGGAACAGUGUGUUGCUGUUGAUUGACAGGGGACACAGUCUUCACAUGCACAAUGCGUAACAUGUGGUCAAGUGAGCAUAUAAAUCUUGUUGGGGAGAGAUAGUGACCAUUGAACGGAUAGUAUUGAGCUAUUGAGAUUGUAUGUAGUGGCAGAAGUGAGAAUGGAGGACAGACAUUCAGACAUUGACAGAUAGUCACCAGUACACAUCUAGCAGAGAUAGUCCUUGCCCCGUAUUAGUAAGAGGGUGUGGCUUCUUCUAGCACAGCUUUUCAUUGAAGGUUCAUAAUGAGCUGCAUUGAAAUAUUGAAAGCACAGAAGCUUCUUGGCUCACUGAAAAUUCUUCUCACGUUUUCAUGUUGUUUUGCUUACGCCUGUCCUUCAGAGGCCUGUGGUUCGGCUGCUUUAAUGUAAUUGUACUUGCAACAGUGGGCAUACUUUUUUGUUAUUGUUGUUGUUGUUCAGCUGUGUUAUAAAGAGAGAGGACAGGCGGGGAACCAUUAGCCGGCUUUCUCGAGCCUUAUAUUUGUCUGGUUUGUUUUUGUUGGCAGCGCUUAAACUGAACGCUUCACAAACUCAAAGUUACAGUGAAAACUCAGCAAUUUGGGGCUCAUUAAAUUUUCUUUACUUUGAAUCAUUCGUACACAUGGAAUGGUCCCAUCAAAUAUAUACACGGGUGCACAUACAUACCAUACAUAUACACAUACUAUGGUGUAAAAGUAGACAUAAUUUGAGACCAGUUCGAGACCACAUUGGUUAACUCAGCAUUGGUAAGUACACCACACAUGCCAUGUGGGGUGCUUCAGCAAUGAAGAGAGCAUGGGAGGUGUGCGUCAACAUUGCAAUCGACACCAUUGUGAUGUUGCCCGAUCAGAACAUUGCUGAUGCAAUGGGAAGCCACUCAACAACGAACAAUUUACAUUGUGAAAUCACAGCCCGUAAAACAGGCUUUAGGAAGAGCAUGAAUAGUGGUGACUUAUUUUUAUGGUGGCUGAAUUCUGGGUGCAUGUACAAACGGAUGGCACAGGAUUUACAAGCUUUCUGAACUGUAACAUUAGUUAUGUUGGUGUAACCUUCGACCCAAACAUCACGAUUGUGCCAUCAUGAGCCAGCACGGCUAUUCAUGUCCUUCUUUAAAAUGGAUGCGGCCCAACAAAGAGUUUAAGAUUUUUGUGGCACAUGCUCGUAUGUUUGCCUGGUGCACCAGUUUUUUCAGCAGAUGAUAUUGAUGGUUCUAUUAGCCAAACACUUGCACAUUGCUGUGAGCUGAUCUGAGCUCUGUACCAUUUUCUCAGUAGGAUUGUACUGAAUAUUUUAUAAUUUGACAAGCUGAUAAUGUGACGUUUUUCAACUGAUCGUGUGAGAUACAAAGUAAUGAGAUUUUAUGGUUAAGGGCCAGUCUGGACAGUCACUUUUAGAACUGCAUUCAUUGGGAUGAUGAUCCAGAUGUGAAUGCUUUUGACUAGCACUAGAGGACGUGGGUAUGCUAGUUUUAAGGCCACAUCAGUUUCAAUCUUACAGCUGUCUGACAGGUAUUGAGUGAUUAACCUGCACCGUUCCAUUCAUUUUACAAUUUCAUUCCAUUGUUAAAAUCACUGUCAUCAUUCACCUUUUUUAGAAAUCGACAAGAUGAUUCCAACCUGCCGUGAAGGCUCUGGUGCUACAACAAUGUGCUGCUGAACGCAAGGUUACAGUUUCAAUUUUUAGUUGCCACUGCCACGUUCUAAAAGGGGCCAAAAUAAUAUAAACGCACCCUUGUGCAGAUAUGGUGCACUUCAAUGCCUGUUUCAUAUGGGGCAUUUUCUAAAUUCUGUCAAGUCACUGGCCUUCAAGAUUCUUAAACUCUGUCGAACUCAGUGGAGUUUUGCUUUGGCUAUGUUUCACAAUCUGGCACCAAGCACUUGUGGCAGCAUCAUUCUUACUUUCAUUGUUUGUUUGUUUUUUUGUUUAUUUUUAUUUUAUUUUUGCCGAAUGUUUUUUAAGCUAUUGCACAAUUCAUAUUGAGUUUCUUGUGAAAUGUCUCUGCACAUUCUUCAUGACAUUGGGUCAGUCCACAUCUACUUGGCUGCUGAGUCACUAGAAUAUCGGUCUAUUGACUUUUGAAGUGGUUGUUUAAAACUGGUCUAUACAACUGCACGUGCUGGCUGAAAUUGACCUGGAGCCCCCUGCCAUAGUGCCCCUGAUUGCUGAGGUGUAGAUUUAGGGCGUGAAAUUUAAGUCAAUUGUUCCGCCAAGUUUACUUCGAUAUCAUUUGGCCAGUGGUAGGCUUAACAGCUUCAUUUGUACGCGAUAGGCACUGUGAUUAUCUAGGUAGGACACUAUUUGGGCUAGUCAUUAUGAUAUCGCUUUUGCAAGGUUAAAAAUGAGCAAUGAAUGAAAAGCAGAGUGAGGAAAAGCGAUGACAAGGGUGCUGGCGUCCUUGUGUGUUCUGUUUCAUUGCGCAUGUGGCCACUUCCAUCUGUGCCUGUACUUGCUGGUUUACAUUAUGUUAGGGUACUCAGACUACAUGUGUUACUGUAUUCGUUGAAAAAUGUUCCAAGAAUACACUACCAGCAGUACGUCCUGCAUCCUUGUGGAACUUCAAGGCCUGUUCGGCAUAGAUUUUUUAAUAAUGUUGACAUGUAUGUCUACAAAGUUUGACAUUAGGAAUUACUCCGACAGAACAAAAUUUCGUAGAUUAAAUUCUUUUACUUAUGCGUCUUGCUAUUUGUUAUUCGCUUACUGGUGUGCCAUUUUUCCACACCCUUUAUGUGAAGAGACCUCGAGGUGUUUGGAUUGGCUUGCAUAAAAUGUUGCACUAUUGUAUCUGAUCAUAUUGGCCCAUCAGAAAUGCUUGCAUUAUCUCUGUAAUACAGCAGCUGGCAUUAGGUGUGAGCUUGUUGUCACUGUGAACUGUUAUUCUAUAAAAUGGCAAGCAAUCAACGACACUACAAAAAAAGUAGCUGCUGAAAGGUCGGUGUUUGAAAUACGUAGGGGUGUGUGAAUAGCAAUUAUUUUGACCAAAUCAAGUAUGGCAGAAGUGAAUUUAAUUCAAUAUUGGAAUACUUUUAGAAUAUUUUUCAAAUAAAGGAGAGCUGUUUUCACCCUUAACAUAAUUCAAUGUGUGCAUUUUAGAUGUUCAGUGCUGCUACAGACGAAUAAAUGGACAAGUCGACACUGAUGUUCACAUCCUAGUAUAUUCACAAUGUUGCCAGAUGUCAUUACAUUGUAUGUUACAAAGCACUUUUACUAAAUGCACAAACGGAGCAUUAGUAAUAGAUAAGCAGUUUUUUUCGCAUGCCCAGUACUCCUCAGAGAGUGCACAUGAUUGCAGUUUGAAAGGAAAAGUAUGGCUCCCUGAACGAUGUAGUGUGGUCCACCACAUAACUUCUCCUGUUUUACAUCGACCAUUGCAGCCUGGAUUAAGUUUAUCGUAGCUUUGCUCUAGUUUUGUGUUUGAUCACACACACUACACUCAAUUAGUGUUUGAUUGCACACAAUACAAUCAAGUAUUGAUUCUUUAGUCAAAAGUUCCGGCUAUUCACACGCACCUAGAAAUAAGAAUUUCUUCAAUAGUGCUUGCAAAGCUAGCUUUCCAGGCACUGAUGUGUCAUCGUUGCUGUACCGAAUGGGCCUAUACAAACACGUUGCGGAAGCUGACGUCUUCAUAAAAGACAUUUUUUCAGCAAGUAAACACAUCAGGAACUCGUAGUCGUUAGAGUUAAUGAAAACUGCAUGCAACCACGCAAUAGAAAGAAGGUGGGAUGGCAGCAACUGCUGCCAGAAACAAACAUGGCAGAUACUGGCUUCAGUAUAGCAACUUCAACUUAUAGCAAAAGUCUGUAGGUUAGCCCACAUGUACGAUCAGACCAGGAUUAAAAACACUUAUGGAAUCUAAUGAAAACAUGCCUUGUGUGUGUUCCUAUUCGAGUACGGGGCUUGACACAGAGCUGCAAAACCAAUCGGUGAAUGUGCAUUGGGUGCAACCGUUUUCUUUGAAGCUCAAGUUGUAGACUAUUCACAGAUAGGUGAAUCUACAAGGCUGAGAGGAUAUCUGUUCUGUUUAGCGUAAACUCUGGCCUGAAAACAUAAAUGCAGUGCACUUGAGAACACAUUAUGUUGCGUGGAAAGCACGCAUUGUUGCAAUGUGCCUAGGGGCCCAACGUAUGCUCAAUGUGUGGAUCAGGGGCUGAAUUCGAAUCAGCCAGCCACUGAAUUCAGUGGCACCUACAUGAACUGCUUGCAUACAGACUUUGAUACACACUACAUUCCAGAAAGUGGCAUGAGCACAUGAAAAACAAUGUGUUUGUUCAGACUUGCAGGAUGUUUCUUGGUAGGCUUGUUCAUAUUGCAGCCUCGUUUAAAAGCAAGCUUGAAGCUUUAUUAUGCUGCAUUAUAUUGCUAGUGUGUUAUGGAGAAUUUUGCCUAAAGGUUGCAGAAUGUUUGCCUUAAUGUGAUAGCAGGACAUGCAAAAAAGCACUCUUGCUUUGUUUGCAUUUUUCUUUUCGUUAACGGUACUCGCACUUUUAGCAGUGCUUCAAUAUGAAAGUCAUUGUUGAAGUCACGACCAUGUGGCACAUUUAGUCAUGUUCUUUUAGCGUGUGUUUUUAGUCUGCUGCUCAAUGAUAACUGCAUUACACUGUUAGUAUAAACAUACUGUGAUCACACUUGUAGCCUCAAUGUUAGUUGCUUUUGCACCUGUAUUUAAGUAAUGUGCACGGAAUAAAGCUCCAGUUUUAUUGUUCACUAA